GACGAACGCUGGCGGCGUGCUUAACACAUGCAAGUCGAACGAAGUGGCGAACGGGUGAGUAACGCGUAAUCAACCUGCCCUUCAGAGGGGGACAACGGUUGGAAACGACUGCUACUACCGCAUACUGAAGGAGGGGAUUGCGUCGGAUUAGCUAGUUGGAGGGGUAACGGCCAACCAAGGCGAUGAGCAGUCGCCGGUCUGAGAGGAGGAACGGCCACACUGGGACUGAGACACGGCCCAGACUCCUACGGGAGGCAGCAGUGGGGAAUAUGGGACAAUGGGCGAAAGCCUGAUCCAGCCAUGCCGCGUGUGUGAAGAAGGUCUUCGGAUUGUAAAGAACUUUAAGUAGGGAGGCGUUACCAACAGAAUAAGCACCGGCUAACUUCGUGCCAGCCGCCGCGGUAAUUC
RNAcentral lists this ribosomal RNA (408 nucleotides) under uncultured bacterium. Its description in RNAcentral is "partial 16S ribosomal RNA". It matches the Rfam family "Bacterial small subunit ribosomal RNA", at positions 28 to 526 of the family's 1533-position model. The record is from RNAcentral.